Molecule: microRNA, 23 nt
Filed under: Bombyx mori (domestic silkworm)
Lineage: Eukaryota; Metazoa; Arthropoda; Insecta; Lepidoptera; Bombycidae
Also listed under: 1 other name
Description: bmo-miR-316-5p
Gene: bmo-miR-316-5p
Source: miRBase by way of RNAcentral
UGUCUUUUUCCGCUUUGCUGCUG